UUGGAUCGGACCUCUGCUGGUUUCUGCCGCAGUGAUAUUCCAACGUAGUGGUUAUCACCGGGUGAAAACUGGUAGAGGUCCGAUCCAGA
This 89-nucleotide microRNA precursor is filed under the name Caenorhabditis briggsae. RNAcentral's name for it is "microRNA cbr-mir-35b precursor (cbr-mir-35b-1)". Its record names the gene cbr-mir-35b-1. The stretch from base 7 to 85 matches the Rfam family "mir-36 microRNA precursor family", at positions 16 to 96 of the family's 103-position model. The record is from miRBase by way of RNAcentral. Lineage: Eukaryota; Metazoa; Nematoda; Chromadorea; Rhabditida; Rhabditidae.